RNAcentral lists this ribosomal RNA (485 nucleotides) under uncultured bacterium. RNAcentral describes it as "bacterial SSU rRNA". It matches the Rfam family "Bacterial small subunit ribosomal RNA", at positions 35 to 507 of the family's 1533-position model. The record is from RNAcentral.
GCUGGCGGCAGGCCUAACACAUGCAAGUCGGGCGGUAACAGGGGAAGCGUUGCUUCCCGCUGACGAGCGGCGGACGGGUGAGUAAUGCAUAGGAAUCUGCCUGGUAGUGGGGGAUAGCCCAGAGAAAUUUGGAUUAAUACCGCAUACGCCCUACGGGGAAAGCAGGGGGGACUCUUCGGAGCCUUGCGCUAUCAGAUGAGCCUAUGUCGGAUUAGCUUGUUGGUGAGGUAACGGCUCACCAAGGCGACGAUCCGUAGCUGGUCUGAGAGGAUGAUCAGCCACACUGGGACUGAGACACGGCCCAGACUCCUACGGGAGGCAGCAGUGGGGAAUAUUGGACAAUGGGCGCAAGCCUGAUCCAGCCAUGCCGCGUGUGUGAAGAAGGCCUUCGGGUUGUAAAGCACUUUCAGCGGGGAGGAAAGGAUGGUUGCUAAUAUCAGCCGUCUGUGACGUUACUCGCAGAAGAAGCACCGGCUAACUCCGUG